This 1067-nucleotide long non-coding RNA is filed under the name Carassius auratus (goldfish). Its description in RNAcentral is "lncRNA (ENSCARG00000069382.1)". Lineage: Eukaryota; Metazoa; Chordata; Actinopteri; Cypriniformes; Cyprinidae. The record is from RNAcentral.
AGAAUUUCCAGCAAGUCCAACCCCCCCCUCCAACCACUGUAUCUGGAUUGUUCAGGAAUAUGAAGACCUAAAAAAAGAAAACAAGUAUCUGUCUAACGAAAUUCACAUGGAAAGGAUCAUGAUGAGGACUGAGAGUGAGCAUACCAUGAGAAACCUGCGCAAUCUCAACCAGGACCUCCGGACCCAAGUUAAAGAGGUGUGUUACACAUAAGACAUCACAGAAGAUGCAGAGGAACAAAAAAUAAUGGUUCUGUCCCUUUUUUUUUCUUUAUAAUAAAUUAGUUGAAACAGACACUUCAUGUCAGCCAGCAGAGGGCGACACUGUGUUCCAGGGCAGCUGAGGAUGCUCAUAGAGGACGAACAGAGGCGGACAAGACAAGGGCACUGGCGGAGGCCCGGGCUCUGGACAGCAGGCAAGAAAAAGAUCUCGCAGUGGUUGACAAAACACGACUCAGUGAAGAACUACAUCUGCUGAAAAAAGAGCACAGUGGUGUCCAGCUACUUUUAGCUCAAGUUGAAAAGAAUUACUUCGAGAGCAAGCUUAAACUAGACAGGGUGUCAGGAGAAAAGCAGGCUCUCCUGGAGGAGAACACAAUACUGGAGGAUGAGAGGAACAUGUUACGACACAAACUGAAGGAGCUGACUGAGGAGAAUGUGAAGAUAAUGGAAAAGGAGGUGAACUCCAGACGCAGAGCUCUGGUUGCUGAAGAGCAGAGAGAAAGGGCCAAUAAAGCCCAGCAGGAGGCUGAGCAGGAAAGACAUUUAGUUGAGCGGGAGAGGGAAGAUCGCAACAGCGAGUGUCUCAGCUGGAGAGAGAAGCACCAGGCUCUGGCAGAAGUCAUCAGAAGCCAGGAAGAACUUAAGUCUCUCCGGCAGACCAAAGCAUGUCAAGCUAAUAUUAAGAGCUACUUCCUGUGCAUGACUGAAAGCGACCAGAGGGUUAGGAUCCUAAAAAAUCGAGAUGGCACUCCAAGGAACUUCCCGGAAGGAGACCCUGUGUACAUCUCCACACCUGACCUCAACAGUGAGGAUUCAGAGAAGAGCUCAGGGAGGUAGGUCUUAUUCUU